Molecule: long non-coding RNA, 330 nt
Filed under: Mustela putorius furo (domestic ferret)
Lineage: Eukaryota; Metazoa; Chordata; Mammalia; Carnivora; Mustelidae
Description: lncRNA (ENSMPUG00000031066.1)
Source: RNAcentral
CAUGGUUCUUCUCCCCCUCUCGUUUCCCCAACUUCACUUUUCCCUUCCUUCUCCUAAUGUCCUCCAUGUUAUUCCUUAUGUUCCAGAUGGCAUCUCAGCUCCUUCUGAAGUUUGGCUACUGUGGACAUUGCUGCUAUGAAUAUUGAGGUUCAUGUCGCCCUUCUUUUCACAACAUCUGUGUCUUUAGGGUAAGUACCCAGCAACGCAAUUGUUGGAUCAUAGGGUAGUUCUAUUUUCAAUUUUUUGAGGAACUUCCAUACUGUUUUCCAAAGUGGCUGCACCAACUUGGAUUCCCACCAACAGUGUAAGAGGAACACUCUUACACUUUCU